This 360-nucleotide ribosomal RNA is filed under the name Anabaena sp. M10. RNAcentral's name for it is "bacterial SSU rRNA". It matches the Rfam family "Bacterial small subunit ribosomal RNA", at positions 424 to 802 of the family's 1533-position model. The record is from RNAcentral. Lineage: Bacteria; Bacillati; Cyanobacteriota; Cyanophyceae; Nostocales; Nostocaceae.
UGUAAACCUCUUUUCUCAAGGAAUAAGAACGGGAAGGACCUUGAGGAUAACCUUCGGUUACCUCCGGGCCACCACCCGCGGAAUUACGGAGGAUGCAAGCGUUAUCCGAAAGGAUGGGGCGAAAAGGGCCCGCAGGGGGCCCUGAAAGUCUGCUGUUAAAAAGCCUACUUCACCUAAAUAAAAGCAGGGGAAACUACAAAGUUAAAGUGCGUUCGGGGAACCAGGAAUUCCUGGGGAACCGGGGAAAGGCGAAAAAACCAGGAAAAACCCCGGGGGCAAAAGCGGGCUACUAGGCCGAACCUGACCCUGAGGAACAAAAGCUAGGGAACCGAAGGGAAUUAAAUACCCAGUAUCAAAAGG